This 253-nucleotide ribosomal RNA is filed under the name uncultured bacterium. Its description in RNAcentral is "partial 16S ribosomal RNA". It matches the Rfam family "Bacterial small subunit ribosomal RNA", at positions 524 to 776 of the family's 1533-position model. The record is from RNAcentral.
UACAGAGGGUGCAAGCGUUAAUCGGAAUUACUGGGCGUAAAGCGCACGCAGGCGGUUGGUUAAGUCAGAUGUGAAAGCCCCGGGCUCAACCUGGGAAUUGCAUUUGAAACUGGGGAACUAGAGUGUGUGAGAGGGGGGUAGAAUUCCAAGUGUAGCGGUGAAAUGCGUAGAGAUUUGGAGGAAUACCAGUGGCGAAGGCGGCCCCCUGGCCCGAUAUUGACGCUGAGGUGCGAAAGCGUGGGGAGCAAACAGG